Molecule: transfer-messenger RNA, 51 nt
Filed under: Taylorella asinigenitalis MCE3
Lineage: Bacteria; Pseudomonadati; Pseudomonadota; Betaproteobacteria; Burkholderiales; Alcaligenaceae
Description: transfer-messenger RNA Taylo_asini_MCE3
Rfam family: transfer-messenger RNA
About the family: Bacterial tmRNA, also known as 10Sa RNA or SsrA, is named for its dual tRNA and mRNA-like properties. Its role is to liberate the mRNA from a stalled ribosome.
Source: RNAcentral
GAUAGACUGAAUUAUUUUUGGACGCGGGUUCGACUCCCGCCGUCUCCACCA